CUCGUAGGCGGUUCGUCGCGUCCGGUGUGAAAGUCCAUCGCCUAACGGUGGAUCUGCGCCGGGUACGGGCGGGCUGGAGUGCGGUAGGGGAGACUGGAAUUCCCGGUGUAACGGUGGAAUGUGUAGAUAUCGGGAAGAACACCAAUGGCGAAGGCAGGUCUCUGGGCCGUUACUGACGCUGAGGAGCGGAAGCGUGGGGAGCGAACA
This 207-nucleotide ribosomal RNA is filed under the name uncultured bacterium. Its description in RNAcentral is "partial 16S ribosomal RNA". It matches the Rfam family "Bacterial small subunit ribosomal RNA", at positions 568 to 774 of the family's 1533-position model. The record is from RNAcentral.